GGCCAGCUGGGAGCGACUCUGGAUCCGAGCCGGCUUCUUUCGGUGGAAUGAGUGAGGCCGGUGGCUUUCGUCAGCUGCUGCCUGUGAUACGCGGCUGGAGUCUAGAAACGUGCUAGAUCCUUCACAAAGUAAAGACACGUCCAGACAAGCUCUCUGCCCCAGAAAGCGUCCAGCCUCCAUUCUGCACGACGCAGCAAAGGCAAGUCAGAAGGAUGAAAAGCGGGAAGGGGAGAGGACAGCCCAAGGUGACCGUGGUAAGAUCAGCACCUCAGCGUCUUCUGCCCAGCACCUUUCAUCUGGGGACCCCCAAAGCACGUUACAGACCUUCCUUGGGCCUGGCAGCAUGCCUGCAAUGAAGGGCAUUGUAAGAACUCUCCUUCUGUGGAUCAAAGUUUAGGCUCCUCUGAUUUGGGAGGCCCAAUCUGAGACCCCCUUUGGGCCAGAUUUUCAGAGGCGUUGAGCCCCUGCCGCUCCCAUCAGGCCGGAUCCUCAGUUGGCAUAAAUUGGUAUAGCCCCUUCCAUGGAGCAAACACUGCUUUACAUCAGCUGGGGAUCUGACCCCUUGACAGCAAUGGUUUUCCAGGCAGCUUCAGCAGCUCUUUAACCCCUUCAUGACUGCGGGGCUCUAUCUCAGCAGCAGUGCAUGUGGACGCAGGGCCGGCUCCAGACACCAGCAAAGAAAGCAGGUGCUUGGGGCGGCCAACGGAAAGGGGCGGCACGUCCGGGUCUUCGGCGGCGGGUCCCUCAGUCCCUCUGGGAGCGAAGGACCCGCCGCCGAAUUGCCGCCGAAGACUGAAGCAGCGCGGUAGAGCUGCCGCCGAAGUGCCGCCCAUCGUGGCUUUAUCUUUUUUUUAUUUUUAUUUUUUUCCCCGCUUCGCCGCUUGGGGCGGCAAAAAAGCUGGAGCCGGCCCUGGGUGGACAGUUCGUGCCCAAGGACGGAAUGCCGGGACGUGGCAAUGGUGGUAAUGAGCAAACAGCACUGCCGAAACAGCCCGGCUGUCGUGGGCGGAUUGGAUCAGUGGCGUCCCCAGAUGGAUCUGCCCAGCUCAACCCUCCCUUGGCUCCCUGGCAGGAUGGUGGGAAGUCGCUUGGAGCCCAAGGUGGUUUGUCCGGGGCCAUGCAGCAAAGCCAGCAACAGAGCCGCAGCCUCACCCUGGAAAGCGACAGUAACUCCACUGCCAUGGCACGAGUGGCAUCGGGAGGAGACGGUGCGAGACUCCGGCCAGGCCUGUAUGUCUCCAGGUCCCUAUGCUCCAGCUGUGCCCCGCUUACAUUCUGCACAGCGCCUCGCUUCAGAGAUGCACCCGGGACUCCUGCAGGAUGGCACUCCGGUGAGUUUGCUGCACGGAGCUGGAGAAAAGGAGAAGGAACGGGACUGGCUAAGGAGGGUUCUCAGUCUGCAGGCCAGGACUCGAUAGCCAGGACGCUUGUGGCAAAAGCUUUCCUUAUUGUUAUUUCAUAUUUAUACUGAAGGGCACUUAAAGGCCUCAAUCCGCUUCAUGAAGGGAAAUCACAAGAAUAUCCAUCCAUCAGUCUGGCUCUCCAUCCCCAGACAUUAUCUAUCUAUCUAUCUAUUCCCAGACACCCCCUCUAUCUAUCUAUCUAUCUAUCCCCAGACACCCCCUCUAUCUAUCUAUCUAUCUAUCUAUCUAUCUAUCUAUCUAUCCCCAGACACCCCCUCUAUCUAUCUAUCUAUCCCCAGAAACCUCCUCUAUCUAUCUAUCCCCAGACACCCCCUCUAUCUAUCUAUCUAUCUAUCUAUCUAUCCCCAGACACCCCCUCUAUCUAUCUAUCUAUCUAUCUAUCUAUCUAUCUAUCUAUCUAUCU
Molecule: long non-coding RNA, 1827 nt
Filed under: Chrysemys picta bellii (western painted turtle)
Lineage: Eukaryota; Metazoa; Chordata; Testudines; Emydidae
Description: lncRNA (ENSCPBG00000002204.1)
Source: RNAcentral